Scleropages formosus (Asian bonytongue) is the source of this 54-nucleotide regulatory RNA element. It matches the Rfam family "Editing element of GABA-3 exon 9". NCBI's taxonomy places the organism in Eukaryota, Metazoa, Chordata, Actinopteri, Osteoglossiformes, Osteoglossidae. The record is from Rfam.
AAGGUGGCCUAUGCAACGGCCAUGGACUGGUUCAUUGCCGUCUGCUACGCCUUU